RNAcentral lists this unclassified non-coding RNA (116 nucleotides) under uncultured Archaeorhizomyces. Its description in RNAcentral is "sequence contains ITS1". The record is from RNAcentral. Lineage: Eukaryota; Fungi; Ascomycota; Archaeorhizomycetes; Archaeorhizomycetales; Archaeorhizomycetaceae.
CUGAAUGGCCUCUAGGCCUUCAACCUUGCAAACCUGUGGAAGCAAGACGUGCUUCGGCGCUUCGGCGUCGCUUUUAUGCCUUAAUCAGUCUAUGUGUGAAUUAAAUACAAGAAAUA